GGUUGAAUGGUCUAGUGGUUAUGAUUUCUGUCUCACACACAGGAGGUCCCCGGUUCGACCCCGGGUUCAACCA
RNAcentral lists this transfer RNA (73 nucleotides) under Macrolepiota fuliginosa MF-IS2. It matches the Rfam family "tRNA". Rfam says of the family: Transfer RNA (tRNA) molecules are approximately 80 nucleotides in length. Their secondary structure includes four short double-helical elements and three loops (D, anti-codon, and T loops). Further hydrogen bonds mediate the characteristic L-shaped molecular structure. tRNAs have two regions of fundamental functional importance: the anti-codon, which is responsible for specific mRNA codon recognition, and the 3' end, to which the tRNAs corresponding amino acid is attached (by aminoacyl-tRNA synthetases). tRNAs cope with the degeneracy of the genetic code in two manners: having more than one tRNA (with a specific anti-codon) for a particular amino acid; and 'wobble' base-pairing, i.e. permitting non-standard base-pairing at the 3rd anti-codon position. The record is from Rfam by way of RNAcentral. Lineage: Eukaryota; Fungi; Basidiomycota; Agaricomycetes; Agaricales; Agaricaceae.